This 253-nucleotide ribosomal RNA is filed under the name uncultured bacterium. Its description in RNAcentral is "partial 16S ribosomal RNA". It matches the Rfam family "Bacterial small subunit ribosomal RNA", at positions 524 to 776 of the family's 1533-position model. The record is from RNAcentral.
UACGUAGGGUGCGAGCGUUGUCCGGAAUUAUUGGGCGUAAAGAGCUCGUAGGCGGUUUGUUGCGUCGGCCGUGAAAACCUGCAGCUUAACUGUGGGCCUGCGGCCGAUACGGGCAGACUUGAGUUCGGUAGGGGAGACUGGAAUUCCUGGUGUAGCGGUGAAAUGCGCAGAUAUCAGGAGGAACACCCGUGGCGAAAGCGAGUUACUGGUCCACUACUGACGCUGAGGAACGAAAGCGUGGGGAGCGAACAGG